Molecule: ribosomal RNA, 1887 nt
Filed under: Gordonia shandongensis DSM 45094
Lineage: Bacteria; Bacillati; Actinomycetota; Actinomycetes; Mycobacteriales; Gordoniaceae
Description: bacterial LSU rRNA
Rfam family: Bacterial large subunit ribosomal RNA
Source: RNAcentral
GAAAGGCCAAUCAAACUCCGUGAUAGCUGGUUCUCCCCGAAAUGCAUUUAGGUGCAGCGUUGCGUGUUUCUUACUGGAGGUAGAGCUACUGGAUGGCCGAUGGGCCCUACUAGGUUACUGACGUCAGCCAAACUCCGAAUGCCGGUAAGUGAGAGCGUGGCAGUGAGACUGCGGGGGAUAAGCUUCGUAGUCGAGAGGGAAACAGCCCAGAUCGCCGGCUAAGGCCCCUAAGCGUGUACUAAGUGGAAAAGGAUGUGGGAUCGCUGAGACAACCAGGAGGUUGGCUUAGAAGCAGCCAUCCUUGAAAGAGUGCGUAAUAGCUCACUGGUCAAGUGAUCCUGCGCCGACAAUGUAGCGGGGCUCAAGUACACCGCCGAAGCCGCGGCACUCACACGUGUCAUUCGUGCUCACCGUUGGGUGGGUGUGUAGUGGUGUGGGUGGGUAGGGGAGCGUCCUGCAUCCGUGGAAGCAGCGGAGUGAUCCAGUUGUGGAGGGUGUGGGAGUGAGAAUGCAGGCAUGAGUAGCGAAAGACAAGUGAGAAACUUGUCCGCCGGAUGACCAAGGGUUCCUGGGCCAGGUUAAUCCGCCCAGGGUGAGUCGGGACCUAAGGCGAGGCCGACAGGCGUAGUCGAUGGACAACGGGUUGAUAUUCCCGUACCCGUGUAUCCGCGCCCAAUGGCGAGGCACUUGUACUAACCACCCAAAAGUCUUCUUUGAUUUCUUCGGAUUUCUCUGGGGAUGGCUGCGUGGGACCUCGGGUGUAGUAGUCAAGCGAUGGGGUGACGCAGGAAGGUAGCUGGGCCAGGUGAUGGUUGUCCUGGUGUAAGCCUGUAGGGAGAGGCAUAGGUAAAUCCGUGUCUCACUUGUUCCUGAGAGGUGAUGCGUAGCCGUUGUGGUGAAUUCAGUGAUCCUAUGCUGCCGAGAAAAGCCUCUAGUGAGUUGGUACACGGCCCGUACCCCAAACCGACACAGGUGGUCAGGUAGAGAAUACUAAGGCGAUCGAGAUAACUGUGGUUAAGGAACUCGGCAAAUUGCCCCCGUAACUUCGGGAGAAGGGGGACCACGGCUGGUGAUAGACGUUGCGUCUGGAGCUGGUGGUGGUCGCAGAGACCAGAGAGAAGCGACUGUUUACUAAAAACACAGGUCCGUGCGAAGUCGUAAGACGAUGUAUACGGACUGACGCCUGCCCGGUGCUGGAAGGUUAAGAGGACCGGUUAAUCAACAUUGUUGGUGAAGCUGAGAAUUUAAGCCCCAGUAAACGGCGGUGGUAACUAUAACCAUCCUAAGGUAGCGAAAUUCCUUGUCGGGUAAGUUCCGACCUGCACGAAUGGCGUAACGACUUCUCUGCUGUCUCAACCACAGACUCGGCGAAAUUGCAGUACGAGUAAAGAUGCUCGUUUCGCGCGGCAGGACGAAAAGACCCCGGGACCUUCACUAUAGCUUGGUAUUGGUGUUCGAUGCGGUUUGUGUAGGAUAGGUGGGAGACUGUGAAGCCGGCACGCUAGUGUUGGUGGAGUCGUUGUUGAAAUACCACUCUGAUCGUAUUGAGCUUCUAACCUCGGACCCUGAUCGGGUUCAGGGACAGUGCCUGGUGGGUAGUUUAACUGGGGCGGUUGCCUCCUAAAGUGUAACGGAGGCGCCCAAAGGUUCCCUCAGCCUGGAUGGCAAUCAGGUGUUGAGUGUAAGUGCACAAGGGAGCUUGACUGUGAGACGUACAUGUCGAGCAGGGACGAAAGUCGGGACUAGUGAUCCGGCACCGGCAAGUGGAAGCGGUGUCGCUCAACGGAUAAAAGGUACCCCGGGGAUAACAGGCUGAUCUUCCCCAAGAGUCCAUAUCGACGGGAUGGUUUGGCACCUCGAUGUCGGCUCGUCGCAUCCUGGGGCUGG